Nerophis ophidion (straightnose pipefish) is the source of this 935-nucleotide long non-coding RNA. RefSeq lists it as uncharacterized. The record is from RefSeq and is a predicted model, not a curated record. The transcript is spliced from 3 exons. NCBI's taxonomy places the organism in Eukaryota, Metazoa, Chordata, Actinopteri, Syngnathiformes, Syngnathidae.
GCGAUUUAUGCAAAAGAAGCCCAUUUUUCCACGCUGAUUUGCUUUUGUCCAACACAUCUGCGGAGUGUGUACGGUGGACAGGCCCUCGGGAGGUGAUCUUGUGAACACUUGCUGAGGAUCCUUGAUGCCGAGUGCAGGAUGUUUCCUACCAGUUUGAAGCCAUGUCUGAAGGGUUCCGAGGUGGAAUGUUCUGCGCUGGCCGAUGGCGGCGUCGGGGGGGGGGGGCACUGCACCGCAUGCCCAUGGUGACGAGGAAACAGCUGACGCAGGCAACAACGGCAUAGACCAACAUCUGAAGGAUGACAGGUGAACAUUUAUUUUUACCUUGAGAUCCUUUAAUCAGCUAUUCAGUAAUUCUAUAUAACUCACCAAAAGUGGGAGUUGUGCCGUGCGAGCGAUCUUUGGAGACGCCAUGUUGGCGAUGAGGAUGCCCAGCGGGUUGGCUGUGGAGGAACAGCGGGCUAAAGAUGAUCACCUCCAUGUCAAGUGUCUCCCAUAAAAUUGCUCAUAGACACCUUGUAACUCACUUGGUCUGCCAGAGCAUAAGACCAUGUAGCAGGAAGGGAUCAGUGUUGCCAACGUAACCACUUUCUUGCUAUAUUGCGUAAUCAGACCUCUUUUUCCAAAAAGUGACUCAUCCAUUGGAAAGACUUUUGUAGACCAUGAAUGCAUGUGACCAGCGAGUGCAUCUGUGGGCCCCUCCCACAUCUAAAAUCACUCUAGGGAUGUAACCAUGAAUGGUAUUAAUGAUAACCGCGGUAAAACACCCCACAGUUAGUAUUACCAUUUUAAAGGGCGGUACAGCUUGGUUGGUAGAGCGGCCGUGCCAGCAACUUGAGGGUUCCAGGUUCGAUCCCCGCUUGCGCCAUCCUGGUCCAGUGGUUCUCAAAUAAUAGGACCUCUUUAAAUACUUGACAGUUUGAAGCAGUUUUCAA